RNAcentral lists this small RNA (2172 nucleotides) under Pan troglodytes (chimpanzee). RNAcentral's name for it is "retained intron". The record is from RNAcentral. Lineage: Eukaryota; Metazoa; Chordata; Mammalia; Primates; Hominidae.
CUGCUGAAGCUGCUGCAGGUGCUGAUUGUCUUGGAACACCACCUGGGUCGGGCCCACGAGGAGGCGGAAAACCAGCCCGACCUGUCCCGGGAGUGGCAGAGAGCCCUGAACUUCCAACAGGCCAUCAGCGCCCUGCAGUACGUGCAGCCCCACCCCCUCACCUCCCAGGGUCUGCUGGUCUCUGCGGUGGUGAGGGGUCUGCAGCCCGCCUACGGCUACGGCAUGCAUCCGGCCUGGGUGAGCUUGGUCACGCAUUCCUUGCCCUACUUCGGAAAGUCUCUGGGCUGGACGGUGACACCCUUUGUUGUCCAGAUUUGCAAAAACUUGGAUGACUUGGUCAAGCAGUAUGAAAGCGAAUCUGUGAAGCUCUCUGUCAGCACAACCUCCAAGAGGGAAAACAUUUCUCCAGAUUAUCCACUCACCCUUCUAGAAGGUCUAACGACCAUUAGUCAUUUUUGUCUUUUGGAACAAGCCAACCAAAACAAAAAGACCAUGGCUGCAGGUGAUCCUGCCAACUUGAGGAAUGCCAGAAAUGCCAUUUUGGAAGAGCUGCCUCGAACUGUUAACACCAUGGCCCUUCUCUGGAAUGUUCUCAGAAAGGAGGAGACUCAAAAGAGACCUGUCGAUCUCCUAGGGGCCACGAAGGGAUCCUCUUCCGUUUACUUUAAAACCACCAAAACCAUAAGACAAAAAAUUUUAGACUUCUUAAACCCCUUGACGGCCCAUCUUGGGGUUCAGUUGACAGCGGCUGUUGCGGCAGUGUGGAGCAGAAAGAAAGCCCAGCGUCACAGUAAGAUGAAGAUUAUCCCAACGGCAAGUGCAUCCCAGCUAACCCUUGUCGACUUGGUGUGUGCACUCAGCACCCUGCAGACUGACACGCUGCUGCACCUGGUGAAGGAGGUGGUGAAGAGGCCACCCCAAGUCAAAGGGGGUGAUGAGAAAUCGCCCCUAGUGGACAUUCCUGUGUUGCAGUUUUGCUAUGCUUUUCUCCAAAGGUAAUACAGUCCCCCGUCCUCCAAAAACUUCCUUAAAUACAGAUGCUAUUGCAGUGAGCAUGCAUAAUAAAUAUCUGUUUUUAUUUCUAGACUACUAGAGAGCCAUUGUUCAGAAAAUAUCUUAAAGUUGUCAUAAUUUCUUCCCAAGGUAUUGAUCUAUGCUUUUCCUUCUCCAGAGAGUUAACAUCUUAAAAUCUGUGCAGCAUAUUUUGAACACUUUAUAUGAGCGAAGCUUUAUGUGAGGCCUGUUAAACUUUAAAAGGCUUGGAUUUGCAUUAAAUUGAUACAGAAAAAGAAAAAAACCACAUAUAGGGAAGUGUUAAAGACCUCUUUUAGAAAAAGGAGAAAUGGGCCAGGCGCGGUGGCUCACACCUGCAAUCCCAGCACUUUGGGAGGUGGAGGCAGGCGGAUCACUUGAGGCCAGGAGUUGGAGACCAGCCUAGUCAACAUGGUGAAACCCCAUCUCUACUAAAAAUACAAAAAUUAGUCCGGCAUGGUGGCGUGCGCCUGUAAUCCCAGCUACUCGGGAGGCUGAGGCAGGAGAAUUGCAUGAACCCAGGAGGCGGAGGUUGCAGUGAGCCAAGACCUCACCACUGCUCUCCAGCCUGGGUGACAGACCAAGGCUCUGUCUCAAAAAAAAAAAGGCAAAAUGAUUGUUUCUGGUGGCGUUCUCAGUGUGCCUUCCCAUGUUUUAUGUGGAGAGGUAUCUGCUUUGAUUUGCUAAGUUAAUAUAUAUGUAUUAGGUGUCUCAGCUAAGAGAGCAUUAAAGGAGAUUCCGCAGGUUUUUCCCCAUAGAUGAAAAAGAAGCUUUACUGGACCUCAUUCAGAUCUUACAAUGGCCGCAUCCCAGGUGCAGCUCUUCGUUGCAGAAAAUGAGGGUGAGGUGGCUGGGUGCGGUGGCUCAACGCCUGUAAUCCCAGCACUUUGGGAGGCUAGAGUGGGUGAGUCACUUGAGGCCAGGACUUUGAGACCAGCCUGGCCAACGUGGUAAAACCCUAUGUCUACUAAAACUACAAAAAAAUUAGCCAGGGCUUGGUGGCAGCAUGCCUGUAGUCCCAGCUACUCGGGAAGCUGAGGCAGGUGAAUCACUUGAACCCAGGAGGCAGAGGUUGCAGUGAGCUGAGAUCACACCACUGCACUCCAGCCUGGGGGACAGAAUGAGACUCUAUCUCAAAAA